RNAcentral lists this transfer RNA (77 nucleotides) under Pseudomonadota bacterium. RNAcentral's name for it is "tRNA-Val". It matches the Rfam family "tRNA". From Rfam's summary of the family: Transfer RNA (tRNA) molecules are approximately 80 nucleotides in length. Their secondary structure includes four short double-helical elements and three loops (D, anti-codon, and T loops). Further hydrogen bonds mediate the characteristic L-shaped molecular structure. tRNAs have two regions of fundamental functional importance: the anti-codon, which is responsible for specific mRNA codon recognition, and the 3' end, to which the tRNAs corresponding amino acid is attached (by aminoacyl-tRNA synthetases). tRNAs cope with the degeneracy of the genetic code in two manners: having more than one tRNA (with a specific anti-codon) for a particular amino acid; and 'wobble' base-pairing, i.e. permitting non-standard base-pairing at the 3rd anti-codon position. The record is from RNAcentral. Lineage: Bacteria; Pseudomonadati; Pseudomonadota. RNAcentral also lists the same sequence under 4 other names.
GGGCGUGUAGUUCAGUUGGCUAGAACGUUCGGAUCACACCCGAAAGGUCACAGGUUCGAGUCCUGUCACGCCCACCA